Trachemys scripta elegans is the source of this 487-nucleotide long non-coding RNA. RefSeq lists it as uncharacterized. The record is from RefSeq and is a predicted model, not a curated record. The transcript has 3 exons. Lineage: Eukaryota; Metazoa; Chordata; Testudines; Emydidae.
GGCAGAAGAGAUCAGAAAGACUCCAUGAUUCAGGGAAGCCAUGUUCAGGAGGGUGGGGGGAGAGGAAGUGUCCUGGACUCCACAGAAGACUCUGACCUCAGCCCAGAGAAUGCUCCAGAGUGAGAUACUUCCAGUACAACUCUGAAAGGCAAAAGCUGAAUGAAAGAUUGUGUCAAACUGAGAAGAGGACAAUAUAUAGAUAUCAGCAGCAAAGCACCAUGAAGAGAGAAAGGUAAUAUAUAGGACGGAAGAAGAGGAGGUUAUGAUAAAAAGAAUGACCAGGAAAAGAAAGAUGAAGGGGUUGGAGGCACUUCUCUCCAAUUCACAAAUCCAUCAAUGACUAAUAGACACCCAGAUACUACAGUGAUGAAGGCCACAUCAGAACCUCAAUAGACGUCCUUCAUUUCAACAGUCAUCUCAUUUUAGUCCCCAAAUUAUUUACUUUGCACACAAAUUUGGUAUCCUUUCACUAUUAUUAUUAAAAAUA